GGGGUUGUAGCUUAGUGGGUAGAGCAUUGGUCUAGCAAACCAGAGACCCAGGGCUGUGAUUCCUAGCACCACCU
Molecule: transfer RNA, 74 nt
Filed under: Rattus norvegicus (Norway rat)
Lineage: Eukaryota; Metazoa; Chordata; Mammalia; Rodentia; Muridae
Rfam family: tRNA
About the family: Transfer RNA (tRNA) molecules are approximately 80 nucleotides in length. Their secondary structure includes four short double-helical elements and three loops (D, anti-codon, and T loops).
Source: Rfam by way of RNAcentral